AUUGAACGCUGGCGGCAUGCCUUACACAUGCAAGUCGAACGGCAGCACGGGAGCAAUCCUGGUGGCGAGUGGCGAACGGGUGAGUAAUAUAUCGGAACGUGCCCGGUCGUGGGGGAUAACGUAGCGAAAGCUACGCUAAUACCGCAUACGAUCUACGGAUGAAAGCGGGGGAUCGCAAGACCUCGCGCGAUUGGAGCGGCCGAUAUCAGAUUAGGUAGUUGGUGAGGUAAAGGCUCACCAAGCCGACGAUCUGUAGCUGGUCUGAGAGGACGACCAGCCACACUGGGACUGAGACACGGCCCAGACUCCUACGGGAGGCAGCAGUGGGGAAUUUGGACAAUGGGCGCAAGCCUGAUCCAGCAAUGCCGCGUGCAGGAUGAAGGCCUUCGGGUUGUAAGCUGCUUUGUACGGAACGAAACGGUGAGCUCUAAUACAGUUUGCUAAUGACGGUACCGUAAGAAUAAGCACCGGCUAACUACGUG
This 482-nucleotide ribosomal RNA is filed under the name uncultured bacterium. RNAcentral's name for it is "bacterial SSU rRNA". It matches the Rfam family "Bacterial small subunit ribosomal RNA", at positions 30 to 507 of the family's 1533-position model. The record is from RNAcentral.